CUUGGUCAUUUAGAGGAAGUAAAAGUCGUAACAAGGUUUCCGUAGGUGAACCUGCGGAAGGAUCAUUACCGAAGUACAGGCCCUCUCGUAGGGCUAAACUUCCACCCUUUGUGAACUACACUUUGUUGCUUUGGCGAGACGCCCUCGUGGCCACCGGCUCCGGCUGGUGCGCGCUCGCCAGAGAAAACCCAAACCCAAACCAUAUUUAGUGAUUUGUCUGAAAACAAGUUUAAUUAUUUAAAACUUUCAACAACGGAUCUCUUGGCUCUGGCAUCGAUGAAGAACGCAGCGAAAUGCGAUAAGUAAUGUGAAUUGCAGAAUUCAGUGAAUCAUCGAAUCUUUGAACGCACAUUGCGCCCGCCGGCACUCCGGCGGGCAUGCCUGUCCGAGCGUCAUUUCAACCCUCAGGCCCACCCUUCCGGGGGAGCGGGCCUGGUUCUGGGGAUCGGCGGCCCUCGCGGCCCCCGUCCCUCAAAUUCAGUGGCGGUCGCGCCGCAGCCUCCCCUGCGUAGUAGCACAACCUCGCACCGGAGAGCGGAACGACCACGCCGUAAAACACCCAAUUUUUUAAGGUUGACCUCGGAUCAGGUAGGAAUACCCGCUGAACUUAAGCAUAUCAAUAAGCGGAGGAAAAGAAACCAACAGGGAUUGCCUCAGUAACGGCGAGUGAAGCGGCAACAGCUCAAAUUUGAAAUCUGGCCUCACGGUCCGAGUUGUAAUUUGUAGAGGAUGCUUUUGGCGAGGUGCUUUCCGAGUUCCCUGGAACGGGACGCCAUAGAGGGUGAGAGCCCCGUACGGUAAGACCACCGAGCCUCUGUAAAGCUCCUUCGACGAGUCGAGUUGUUUGGGAAU
This 852-nucleotide small RNA is filed under the name uncultured Acremonium. RNAcentral describes it as "eukaryotic LSU rRNA". The stretch from base 575 to 852 matches the Rfam family "Eukaryotic large subunit ribosomal RNA", at positions 1 to 281 of the family's 3401-position model. Lineage: Eukaryota; Fungi; Ascomycota. The record is from RNAcentral.